AGAAUCCAUAUAGGUUUUUGCUUAUGCACCAUGGUUGUCUGAGCAAACAGCAUGCUUGUCUGCUCAUACCCAUCUUAACUGUCUACUGC
This 89-nucleotide microRNA precursor is filed under the name Mus pahari (shrew mouse). Its description in RNAcentral is "miRNA (MGP_PahariEiJ_G0007868.1)". Lineage: Eukaryota; Metazoa; Chordata; Mammalia; Rodentia; Muridae. The record is from RNAcentral.